Molecule: ribosomal RNA, 453 nt
Filed under: uncultured Paraprevotella sp.
Lineage: Bacteria; Pseudomonadati; Bacteroidota; Bacteroidia; Bacteroidales; Prevotellaceae
Description: partial 16S ribosomal RNA
Rfam family: Bacterial small subunit ribosomal RNA
Source: RNAcentral
ACGGGAGGCAGCAGUGAGGAAUAUUGGUCAAUGGGCGGAAGCCUGAACCAGCCAAGUCGCGUGAAGGAUGAAGGUUCUAUGGAUUGUAAACUUCUUUUGUUCGAGGGUAAAGUGAGGGUCGAGACCCUUAUUGCAAGUAUCGAACGAAUAAGCAUCGGCUAACUCCGUGCCAGCAGCCGCGGUAAUACGGAGGAUGCGAGCGUUAUCCGGAUUUAUUGGGUUUAAAGGGAGCGUAGGCGGGCCUUUAAGUCAGUGGUAAAAGCGUGUGGCUCAACCAUACCACGCCAUUGAAACUGGAGGCCUUGAGUGCACACAGGGAUGCUGGAAUUCGUCGUGUAGCGGUGAAAUGCUUAGAUAUGACGAAGAACUCCGAUCGCGAAGGCAGGUGUCCGGGGUGUAACUGACGCUGAGGCUCGAAAGUGCGGGUAUCAAACAGGAUUAGAUACCCUGGUA